RNAcentral lists this ribosomal RNA (385 nucleotides) under uncultured eukaryote. Its description in RNAcentral is "SSU rRNA". It matches the Rfam family "Eukaryotic small subunit ribosomal RNA", at positions 587 to 972 of the family's 1831-position model. The record is from RNAcentral.
AGCUCCAAUAGCGUAUAUUAAAGUUGUUGCAGUUAAAAAGCUCGUAGUUGAAUUUGUGAUGUGUCCAGUCGGCCUUUGCUCUUUGAGUGAUUGUGCUGUUAUUGGUCCGUCAUGUUUGGGUGGAAUCUGUGUGGCAUUAGGUUGUCGUGCAGGGGAUGCCCAUCGUUUACUGUGAAAAAAUUAGAGUGUUCAAAGCAGGCUUAUGCCGUUGAAUAUAUUAGCAUGGAAUAAUGAUAUAGGACCUUGGUACUAUUUUGUUGGUUUGCGCACUAAGGUAAUGAUGAAUAGGGACAGUUGGGGGUAUUUGUAUUCCAUUGUCAGAGGUGAAAUUCUUGGAUUUUUGGAAGACAAACUACUGCGAAAGCAUUUACCAAGGAUGUUUUCA